UACGUAGGGUGCAAGCGUUAAUCGGAAUUACUGGGCGUAAAGCGUGCGCAGGCGGUUCGCUAAGACAGAUGUGGAAUCCCCGGGCUUAACCUGGGAACUGCAUUUGUGACUGGCGGGCUAGAGUAUGGCAGAGGGGGGGUAGAAUUCCACGUGUAGCAGUGAAAUGCGUAGAUAUGCGGAGGAACACCGAUGGCGAAGGCAAUCCCCUGGGCCUGCACUGACGCUCAUGCACGAAAGCGUGGGGAGCAAACAGG
RNAcentral lists this ribosomal RNA (254 nucleotides) under uncultured bacterium. RNAcentral describes it as "partial 16S ribosomal RNA". It matches the Rfam family "Bacterial small subunit ribosomal RNA", at positions 524 to 776 of the family's 1533-position model. The record is from RNAcentral.